Molecule: unclassified non-coding RNA, 3904 nt
Filed under: Leishmania donovani
Lineage: Eukaryota; Euglenozoa; Kinetoplastea; Trypanosomatida; Trypanosomatidae
Description: gene:LdHU3.25.1480(CDS-product:aldehyde_dehydroge nase_mitochondrial_precursor)
Source: RNAcentral
AGGCCCUUUCAAAAACGAACUCAAAAAGGAGCGCAACAUCGGCAAGAAAACACACAGACGCACACAGCACGUGCAUCUACUCCCGCCCCUCUUUCUCUCUCUUCCCCCCCCCCCCUGCCCAGUCGUCACACCCCCACCACCUGCACGCGUCGCAUCCAACAAUGCUGCGUGCCACCCUCACUCGCCUGGAGAUGGCCCCCAAGGUCACGCACAUCCAGGACAAGUUGCUGAUCAACGGCAAGUUCGUGCCGGCGGUAUCUGGUAAGACAUUCGAGGUUGUGAACCCCGCGGAUGAAAAGGUGAUCGCGAACGUCGCGGAGGCCGAAAAGGCAGACGUGGACCUUGCCGUGAAGGCUGCCCGCCACGCCUUUGAGUCCUUCCGCAUGACCGACGGCCACUGGCGCCGCAAUCUGAUGCUGCGCCUGGCGGACAUCCUGGAGAAGAACAGCAAAGAGAUGGCUGCGCUGGAGAGCCUGGACAAUGGCAAGCCGUACGAGGUGGCACUGAACGUGGACGUGGCGCUUUCGGUGGAGUGCUUCCGGUACUGCGCUGGACUCGCGGACAAGGUGAAUGGCUCCGUGCCGCCGCGCUCUGGCAACUUCCUCGGCAUUGUGAAGCGCCAGCCAAUCGGCGUGUGCGGCCAGAUCAUCCCUUGGAACUUCCCGCUUCUGAUGGCUGCGUUCAAGCUCAGCCCUGCACUUGCAUUGGGCAACACGGUUGUGCUGAAGCCCGCGGAGCAGACGCCGCUGAGUGCGCUGCGCCUUGGCGAGAUGGCGAUGGAGGCUGGAUACCCGGACGGCGUGCUGAACAUCUUGCCGGGCUUCGGCGCGACCGCAGGCGCGGAUAUUGCGCGCCACAUGGACGUGGACAAGGUUGCCUUUACGGGCUCGACAGCUGUUGGCCACCAGGUGAUGCGGAUGGCGGCGGAGACCAACCUGAAGAAGGUGUCUCUGGAGCUUGGCGGCAAGUCUGCGCUGAUCGUGUGCGAGGACGCCGACUUGGAGGAGGCGGCGCAGGUCGCGACGACCGGUGUCUACUUCAACACGGGCCAGGUGUGCACGGCGUCGUCGCGCAUUUAUGUACACGAGUCUGUGUACGACGAGUUCGUGUCGCGUCUGCGCAAGAACGCGGAGGCGCGCAGGGUGGGACCAGGCAACGACACGGCGAACAACAUGGGCCCAUUGGUGUCGAAGAAGCAGCACGAGCGGGUGCUCAUGUACAUCGAGGACGGUGUGAAGGCUGGCGCGACGGUGGUGACUGGCGGCAAGAGGAUCGGCGACAAGGGCUAUUUCGUGCAGCCGACCAUAUUUUCGGAAGUGAAGGAGGACAUGCGGAUCUGCAAGGAGGAGAUCUUUGGCCCCGUAACGUGCGUGAUGAAGUUCAAGGACAUGGACGAGGCCGUGAAGCGCGCGAACAACAGUAUCUACGGGCUGGCUGCUGGCAUCUGUACGCGCAGCAUGGACACUGCGCUCCGCUAUUCGACAUACCUCAACGCCGGCACGGUGUGGGUGAACACCUGGAACGACUUCUGCGUCUCCAUGCCGUUUGGCGGCUUCAAGCAGAGCGGCAUUGGUCGGGAGCUGGGCAAGGAAGUCAUCGACAUGUACACGGAGCCGAAGGCGAUCCACUUUGCCCUCAAGGGGCCCAUUGUCAAGCCGUGAGGAGUGCGCGAGCAGAGGGUGCGUCUCCAUCCUCCCUCCACCGCUCUCUGUGCGUUAUUCACCUUGCUUCCGCCCCUUCAGCGGUGUGCGAGAGAGGGUGGUGGGGGGGGGGGCGGUCUUUGCGCACACCCAUGCGCGCCUGCUGUGUGUCCACUCGCACUGCUGCGUGGGACUGUUGCGAGGGGUCUGUGCACCACCCUUUUCUCCUUUUCCUGCCUUAUUGCUAGCGCACAGUGGGGCGUGCGAGUGCGUGCCUGAGUGUGGGCUGCGCUUCAGCUCCGUUGCACUUCUUUUUUUCUUCUACAGGAGGUGCCGAUGGCGCCGGGGAGGAGAGGACGAAGCCCGAGAAAGUAGCCGGUGCGCACCGGCGGACACCCAGAGGAAGGGCGAUGACGGAAGCAGCGUGCCGUGCGACACGCGCUUUUCGCACCCCCACGCCUGCUGAAGCAGGGGAGUGCUCGCUGCUGCUGCUGCUGCUGCUGCUCUUUUUCCUCCCCUCACCCCUCGCUGCCUCCCUCGUGGUGACACCUUCACUGCAUGGGGCGCGCUUCUCAUCCUGUUUUUUUUUUUUCGCUCCACAGCGUGCGUGCACGUACGAUAAAACUGCCAGUGACGGUGGCGUUUUCGUGCGGAAGCUCCUCACGCGUGCUUUGAGCCGGUGCUGACAUCAGCCCCCCCACCCCCUCCUUGCCUACUCGCCCUUCGGCUGGUUAGGCGCAAGCACACAGGCGCACGCACACAGUGCUCGUGGCCCUCGUUUUUCCCGUUAUGUUUUUAUCUUUUCCCUUUUUUGUUUCGUUUCAUGUUCCGCGUUACGGUUUCGUGUGCUGUUCGUCUGCACGUCACGCUAUGAUAUCUCUCUAUAAAAAAACUAUCUAAUCGGUUGACUAUUCUCUUCAAGCCCGCCGUCCACCACCAGCACCACCAUCACACCCACCCACCCACCCACACACACACACACACACACACACAGACACACAGACAUAAGCCAGACGGCGUGCUUGCUUCAGAUAUCGUUCAUCAUGCACCCUUUCCUGCGUAUUUUCGUGUCCACGGACCACCCCGCUUGGUCUCUGUCUUUUCGCGGUCAUGUCACGUUCUGUUAUCGCUGAGAUCUGUGGUGUUGUCUUACCCUGUACCGACCCCUUGCCUUCUAUGCUUUUUCUUCUUUCAUCUUUUUGCGCUCCCAAGACGUUUAGGCCCUGAGGAUGCCAUCCACCUCGCCCUGGUAUCAGGGCCUAGUAUCCCCACACUCUUCGUGUCGGCGGACAGGUCUGGGCUGGUGCUGUGCCGAAGAGACCUGCAGUCAUGACCACGCUUGGAGCAGCUCACUGCGUAUUGUGUCGACGCUUCAACGAAUGCUCGCAUGCACCUCCUGUUUUCUGCUUUAGCUGCGUUGUGGCAAUGCCGAGCGUAAUCCUGGGCCCACCCUGCGCUGCUCGCAGCGACAUUGCAGUGGGGGUGGGGGUGAGGGGCCGAAACGACAUCGAGCGAUGUUGGCUUGGCCCGAUGCGCUUGGCUUAGCCGUAGUGCCGCAGAGGUCGAUGAGCUGUGGUGUUGCCAUGCGUGUGUGCGUAUGUGGUUGACCUGUUCGAAUGUGGGCACGUUGCCAAAAAAAAAAUGAAAAACGAAUUUGUUUUUGCCUUCUCUCUCGAUUACAGCAGCACAGAAAGAAUUGUGGCAGAGUGAGAGAGCGCGCGCGCGAGAUGGGCGCUGGCGAAGGCAUAUGUGCGUGUCGUUGCGGGCCUGUUUCGCAAAGGAAGCGUUGCGCACUGAGGCGAGAGGGACACGGAGAGGUGAGCGUCGAGUAUCAGCCUAUCAACAAGGAUGCGACAAUAAUGCUCACCGUGCUAUCGUUAGUGCCCCUUUUAGUAGACGAGCGUGUUGGAGCUGAGCGCAUGGCGAACGUCAUGGAUACACCUCAAGCCCAGGGCGGACACCGCGCUGAUAUACGGCGACACACACGCACAAGAGUGCAGCCGUGAAGCGUGUGGACCACUUCAGCAUCUCGCUCGCGCUCUCUCUGCGGCUUUUGGUGCACUUUUCUUUCGGCUGCGCGUGUGUGCUGGUAUGCGUUGCACGCUCCUGAACGCGUUUUCCCCGUAACACAGACACGUCUACACAUAGAUAUACUUCAUAUACAUAUAUACAUAUAUGUGUACGUGUGUCGGUGUGUACAUGCACUUGGCGUACUUGCGCGCUGUCUUUUUUUUUGCAUUGUGCUGAUGACGCCUGAUCCGGAC